This is a long non-coding RNA of Equus asinus (donkey), 2406 nucleotides long. NCBI's taxonomy places the organism in Eukaryota, Metazoa, Chordata, Mammalia, Perissodactyla, Equidae. The record is from Ensembl.
CCGGAGACCCCUACUCACACCUUGCAGUCCGGCCUGUUCCAGCCCACAAGGGCUUUGCUCUACUUAGGGCGAAUCACAAGCGGGCUUUCAUCCAGGCCAUUCCGGAUUCGCUAAUCAGCGCCGCUCUUUCAGGGCCCAGCUUCCCCCUCAUUUGCUUUCCGCCGCCGCUGCUCCAGGCAAAGCGGAGCGUCGCGGGGAGAGCACGUCGCACCCGUUACGCCCUUCGAUUCGGCCUCAAGUUCGAUUGGAUAGAGGCCGUCCCGGCUCCCCGCCCCCUCGGCCCACCCCAUUGUCAAUCACACCAUCUCUUGGGUAACUCAGGGCACCGUUGGUCAGUCUAGUAUGAGGGCGGGUUGUUGGGCGGGAAAGAGCUGCUUUUCCAGCGUCCUUUGCUGUUACCGUGGAGACUGCGCAGCCAGGCCUUGGCGCGGAGGGUCCAGGCAACCCCUUUCCCGCAUGUUGAAGUCUGGAUAUCUGUGCAGCAGUCUAGAUAUUACUGCCUGUUCCGGAGUCUGAUGAGCAUCUCAGUCCCCGACCCACUGGCUCUGGUGGCCCGCGGGAUUUGGGGGGCAAAUCAAAUUAGGCCUCGGAGAGGAAGUCAGGCCCAGUCAUCAAGAGUCCCUAACAAUCCUCCUGGAGAGAACCGAGUAUGAAGCUGUAAUAACAUCACGUUUUCGUUUAUCCUUACCUCGCCUUAUUUUAUUUGGGGUUAUUCUUCCGUUAGCCUUAUGAAGCGGACUGUGGCAAGAAUCAUUCUACUCACAGGGCAGACUGGCGAAGAGAGACCAGGGUCAAUCAGGUGAAUCUUCUGUAGCUACACCUCCAGGCAGUUGGAACUCCAGCUGGUCCAUGCCUUUGGCAGACUGCUUUUACCUAACUGCAAGCUAAAACUUGCCAUGAUUUUAUUCCGAGGCUAUGGCCUGUUGGACCAAAAGAUCCAAAACUCAGGCCAACCAAAGCAAAUAGGACAGAGGAUCCAUGUUCCAUUGCUGAAUCAGCAAGGGAAAAUACACAAAAAUAAAAAUAAACAGUACCAGAUUUGAGAGCUGCGGUAUCUGAACCUUUGACCUUAGACAAAAUUUGGAAACGUUAUGAAGCAAACUCUUCAAUCGUGGAAUACUAAAUCUCUGAUUUAGGGAAUUCAGCUCCUGAAUCAUAGCUUUGUGAGUAAAAUGGAAGAACAUGGUUGAAUUCCAUUGAAAACUAGGAGAAGGAUACGCAGCAUCCAACAGCAAGAGAAUCUGUCACCACUGGCCCUGCCCAGCGCCGAGUUUGCAAUCCAGCCAUCCUUUCUGGAGAGCUGAUAUAAAGUGUCUGGCAAGAGAAGGAUUCCGCGAAUUCUGAUUUUCUCAACUCUGGUGAAGGAGGAGAGGACAGCAGCCCGAGAGGCACAACACCAGGCAGCUGCUGGGAAGAUAUAUAUGGCAAGACUCAGCUGGAGCCUAUACAGGAACAUUUGACUAACUGAGAAGGGAAUCCUGGAAGGCAAGAUCGCAAAGACAGCAAAGCUGAGCAUGAAGUGAGCAGCAGGGCCCAUCAGCGCCAUUGUGGACAUGGAUGGACAGGCAGCCGUGCAGUGCCUCUGAGCUGAACGAGGCACAGCAGGCUCUGUGCGUGCUCCCUCUUCCAUCCCCUUCCUUCUCUUCCAGGGAGUCUUCUACACCAACCAUAACAGAGGCAACAACUCCUAAAUCUCACCGAGUUCAAGCAGGCAAAUCCAAGAACUGUUCAUCUCAAAUUAGCCUGCUUACCCUUUAUUAUGAUGCUAUGGAAAAACGCUUUCACAAUGCUUUGAGCAACGCUUUUUUUUUUUAAUAGUUAUUCUACAUCCAUGAUCUCAUUUGAUCCUCACAGCACCCCGAGAAAGGGAAAAGGCGCAUCUGUAACUCCUAUGUGAGAGCUGACACUGAGUAACAGUAACUUGCCCAAGUUGCCCAGUGAGUUAGGUUAGAAUCAGGCCCCAGAGCCUUCGGACUUUCUAGGCCAAAGUUCUCCUAAUCUGCCAUUGUUACUCAUAUCCCGCUAAUGUUCAGACCGCUUUUCAAAGCAGAAAAAUAUUCUCUCAGACAUCUAAAUUAUUUAUAUCCUAAUGUAACCUAAAAGUUACAAACAAAAAAUAGGUAUGACUUCCCAAUGUUUAUAGCUUUUUUACAACUAAGAAUUAAUUAGAUGCUAAAAAAGUUCUGAAAUAAAAAAAAAUUUAAGUUAACAAUACUAGUCCAAUUUGAACCAUAACAUCGUUUUCCUGAAACUGAUUGCCCCUGUGGAAGAGCACGUAGCCCUGACUGCUCAGUUACCGGUUCUUUUUCACGUGGUUCGCCUAGUGCUGUGGGCGCCGUCGUUCUUCUGAAAUCAAAUUUCGGCGAAACUGACAUUGGUUGAAAGCCACGGUGACGCCAUUUGGCC